RNAcentral lists this ribosomal RNA (497 nucleotides) under uncultured bacterium. Its description in RNAcentral is "partial 16S ribosomal RNA". It matches the Rfam family "Bacterial small subunit ribosomal RNA", at positions 28 to 507 of the family's 1533-position model. The record is from RNAcentral.
GAUGAACGCUGGCGGCGUGCCUAAUACAUGCAAGUCGAGCGAACAGACGAGGAUCUUGCGCCUCUCUCGUGUGCGGCGCGGGGGUGUGAAACACGUGUAUAACCCCCCUAUAUGAGUGUGAUAUCUUGGGGAAACCGGAGAGAAUACGCCAGAAGAUAUUGAUCCGCGUGGGGCGCUAGAGAGAGACGGUGUUCUGGUAUCUCAUAGAGGUUUACGCGCCGUGUUAGCUAGUUGUUGAGGUAAAGGCUUACCAAGGCAACGAUGCGUAGCCGAACUGAGAGGGUGAUCGGCCACCCUGGAACUGAGACACGGUCCAGACUCCUACGGGAGGCAGCAGUAGGGAAUCUUCCGCAAUGGGCGAAAGUCUGACGGAGCAAGGCCGCGUGAGUGAUGAAGGUGUUCGGAUCGUAAAACUCUGUUAUUAGGGAAGAACAACUGUGUCAGUAACUGAGCGUGUCUUGACGGUACCUAAUCAGAAAGCCACGGCUAACUACGUG